Molecule: ribosomal RNA, 209 nt
Filed under: Clostridioides difficile
Lineage: Bacteria; Bacillati; Bacillota; Clostridia; Peptostreptococcales; Peptostreptococcaceae
Description: partial 23S ribosomal RNA
Rfam family: Bacterial large subunit ribosomal RNA
Source: RNAcentral
UUGGUACUACAUGUACAGGAUAGGUGGGAGGCUUUGAAACCAGGACGCCAGUUUUGGCGGAGCCAUCCUUGGGAUACCCCCCUUGUAGUACUGGGACUCUAACCAUAGGCCAUGAAUCUGGUCUUGGGACACUGUCAGGUGGGCAGUUUGACUGGGGCGGUCGCCUCCCAAAAGGUAACGGAGGCGCUCAAAGGUUCUCUCAGUACGGU